GGUUACGGACUGAUCUGGUGUGAUCAAGACCUUAUAGUGUUGGUUAGAAGUUUCUACCAACUGCAUACUAUAGUGGAUAAUCUCACACGAAGUGUGGGGACUGGAAGUAGCCGGGUUUGGUGAACCAGGAUAACUCUCCUGUGUUAUUCUCUCUCUCUCUCUCUCUCUCUUACUUGUACACACUAAACACACACAUUAUCACAAAGCUUUAAUAUUCACCUCCAGAACAUUCUGGUCCUAAUUAAUCUCAACCAUAUUAAUCCAGAGUUCUCUGGUCCUAACUUAACUUAUAUUAUUUUGAUAAAUUAAACUGCCUCCAGAACAUUCUGGUCCAAGAUAAAACAAUUGCUUAAUACUUAACUAAAAGUUUAAAAU
RNAcentral lists this long non-coding RNA (375 nucleotides) under Medicago truncatula (barrel medic). Its description in RNAcentral is "long non-coding RNA (MTRU_LNC006043)". The record is from RNAcentral. Lineage: Eukaryota; Viridiplantae; Streptophyta; Magnoliopsida; Fabales; Fabaceae.